GAUGAACGCUGGCGGCGUGCCUAAUACAUGCAAGUCGAGCGAACGGGCGAGAAGCUUGCUUUUCUGGUGUUAGCGGCGGACGGGUGAGUAACACGUGGAUAACCUACCUAUAAGACUGGGAUAACUUCGGGAAACCGGAGCUAAUACCGGCUAAUAUUUUGAACCGCAUGGUUCAAAAGUGAAAGACGGUCUUGCUGUCACUUAUAGAUGGAUCCGCGCUGCAUUAGCUAGUUGGUAAGGUAACGGCUUACCAAGGCAACGAUGCAUAGCCGACCUGAGAGGGUGAUCGGCCACUCUAGAACUGGGACAUGGUCCAGACUCCUACGGGAGGCAGCAGUAGGGAAUCGUCCGCAAUGGGCGAAAGCCUGACGGAGCAACGUGGAGUGAGUGAGGACGGUCUUCGGAUCGUAAAACGCUGUUAUUAGGGACGAACAGAUUUGUAAGUACCUGUGCACAUCUUGACGGUACCUAAUCAGAAACCCAAGGCUAACUACGUG
RNAcentral lists this ribosomal RNA (497 nucleotides) under uncultured bacterium. RNAcentral describes it as "partial 16S ribosomal RNA". It matches the Rfam family "Bacterial small subunit ribosomal RNA", at positions 28 to 507 of the family's 1533-position model. The record is from RNAcentral.